UUAAGAAGCUCGUAGUUGGAUUUCUGGGAUUUUCAGCCGGCCGCUCUUAGAUUGUAGCUAGUUUGCAAGUCUCAUCUUCUCACAAUUCUCGCUGGCCUUAACUGUUCGGCGUAGAGACUGAGUCGUUUACUUUGAGAAAAUUAGAGUGUUCAAAGCAGCUAUCGCCUGAAUAUAUUAGCAUGGAAUAAUGAUAUAGGACUUUGGUUCUAUUUUGUUGGUUGUUCGAGGACCGAAGUAAUGAUUGAUAGGGACAGUUGGGGGCAUCAGUAUUCUGAAGCGAGAGGUGAAAUUCUUGGACCUUCGGAAGACUAACAACUGCGAAAGCAUUUGCCUAGGAUGUUCUCUUUAAUCAAGAACGAAAGUUGGGGGAUCGAAGACGAUCAGAUACCGUCGUAGUCUCAACUAUAAACUAUGCCAGCUAGGGAUUGGUGGAUGUUUAAUUACGACUCCAUCAGCACCUUAUGA
Molecule: ribosomal RNA, 465 nt
Filed under: uncultured marine eukaryote
Lineage: Eukaryota
Description: SSU rRNA
Rfam family: Eukaryotic small subunit ribosomal RNA
Source: RNAcentral